This 70-nucleotide transfer RNA is filed under the name Tagiades vajuna. RNAcentral's name for it is "tRNA-Leu". Lineage: Eukaryota; Metazoa; Arthropoda; Insecta; Lepidoptera; Hesperiidae. The record is from RNAcentral.
CUAUUUUGGCAGAAAAAUGUAGUGAUUUUAGAAUUCAUAAAUAUAUAUGAUUAUAUAUAUAUAAAUAGUA